GCUUAUGGCGGGGUGCAAUGGGAGACCUUCGGGUCUGCCGGGUUUCCUUUGGUCUCCGGUUCGCCAACCUGUUGCAUUCCGCCGCCCUU
RNAcentral lists this non-coding RNA (89 nucleotides) under Frateuria aurantia DSM 6220. The record is from RNAcentral. Lineage: Bacteria; Pseudomonadati; Pseudomonadota; Gammaproteobacteria; Lysobacterales; Rhodanobacteraceae.